Molecule: ribosomal RNA, 92 nt
Filed under: uncultured bacterium
Lineage: Bacteria
Description: partial 16S ribosomal RNA
Rfam family: Bacterial small subunit ribosomal RNA
Source: RNAcentral
AGGGAUGACUGCCUUCGGGUUGUAAACCUCUUUCAGCAGGGACGAAGCGAAAGUGACGGUACCUGCAGAAGAAGCACCGGCCAACUACGUGC